GGGGAAUAUUGCGCAAUGGGGGAAACCCUGAUGCAGCAACGCCGCGUGAGUGAUGACGGUCUUCGGAUUGUAAAGCUCUGUCUUCAGGGACGAUAAUGACGGUACCUGAGGAGGAAGCCACGGCUAACUACGUGCCAGCAGCCGCGGUAAUACGUAGGUGGCAAGCGUUGUCCGGAAUUACUGGGCGUAAAGGGUGCGCAGGCGGACAUUUAAGUGAGAUGUGAAAGACCCGGGCUUAACUUGGGCAGUGCAUUUCAAACUGGAUGUCUGGAGUGCAGGAGAGGAGAACGGAAUUCCUAGUGUAGCGGUGAAAUGCGUAGAGAUUAGGAAGAAUACCAGUGGCGAAGGCGACUUUCUGGACUGUAACUGACACUGAGGCUCGAAAGCGUGGGGAGCAAAC
This 400-nucleotide ribosomal RNA is filed under the name uncultured bacterium. RNAcentral describes it as "bacterial SSU rRNA". It matches the Rfam family "Bacterial small subunit ribosomal RNA", at positions 356 to 773 of the family's 1533-position model. The record is from RNAcentral.